RNAcentral lists this long non-coding RNA (756 nucleotides) under Carica papaya (papaya). RNAcentral describes it as "long non-coding RNA (CPAP_LNC011693)". Lineage: Eukaryota; Viridiplantae; Streptophyta; Magnoliopsida; Brassicales; Caricaceae. The record is from RNAcentral.
GGCAGUGCUCUCGGGUGCGGCGGCUCUCCGGCGAGGUUCGUCUUUUGGUGAUUCGGCUCCGGUCAACCUGUAGAGAAAAGAAUGGUGAUCACGGUGAUAUAAAAAUUGCAUCAAACGGAGGCCGGGAAGGGCCUCAUCGGAGGCAAAAAUCGAGGAGGGGCGCGGCGGCGCCGCUGGCUUUCGGCCGUAUUUUCCGGCCGUUUGGCCGGGAUUUUGGCUCUGAUUUGGCCACAGGGGAAAUCAGCGUGGAAAAACGAGUCAAGGGUAUGAAAUUUACCUCGAUCGGCGGUCGAAAAUCUCCCCGGUGCGGCGGCGGGCGGCGGCGGUCGGCUUCUGGUUCGUCUUCUCCGGCGAGGGCAGGCGGCUAGGGUUUUGUGGUCUGGUGUGGGGGUUCUAUUUAUACCAUUUUGCCUUUUGAUCUCAACCGUUCAUUUUGUUUUAAUCUGGGCCGUCCGUUUUUUGAUUGAAUCUGGGCCGUCCGAUCGCGCGUACGCGGAUCGCCAACGUGGCCCUUCCCCGGUCGACGUGGUUUUGCCACGUGGCAGGUCCUGGUUGGUCAGGACUGCUGACUGGGUCUGCUGACGUGGCUGUUGACGUGGCACACAUUUUUUUUUUCCCUCUUUCCGGGCAUUACACUGACUACUUGGCGAAUCAGACCUUUAUUUGGCCCCUUAAGAAUUAUCACUUAUAACUCCCUCCCGAGGAAUUUCUGAGUAUCACGAGAGAAGAUAUCAUUGGAGUUUCUUUCCUUAAGAU